UACGAAGGGGGCUAGCGUUGCUCGGAAUCACUGGGCGUAAAGGGUGCGUAGGCGGGUCUUUAAGUCAGGGGUGAAAUCCUGGAGCUCAACUCCAGAACUGCCUUCGAUACUGGAGAGCUUGAGUCCGGGAGAGGUGAGUGGAACUGCGAGUGUAGAGGUGAAAUUCGUAGAUAUUCGCAAGAACACCAGUGGCGAAGGCGGCUCACUGGCCCGAUACUGACGCUGAUGCACGAAAGCGUGGGGAGCAAACAGG
This 253-nucleotide ribosomal RNA is filed under the name uncultured bacterium. Its description in RNAcentral is "partial 16S ribosomal RNA". It matches the Rfam family "Bacterial small subunit ribosomal RNA", at positions 524 to 776 of the family's 1533-position model. The record is from RNAcentral.